RNAcentral lists this ribosomal RNA (353 nucleotides) under uncultured bacterium. RNAcentral's name for it is "partial 16S ribosomal RNA". It matches the Rfam family "Bacterial small subunit ribosomal RNA", at positions 338 to 707 of the family's 1533-position model. The record is from RNAcentral.
CCUACGGGCGGCAGCAGUGAGGGAUAUUGCGCAAUGGGCGAAAGCCUGACGCAGCGACGCUGCGUGGGCGAGGAAGGCCUUCGGGUUGUAAAGCCCUUUUGGCAGGGAAGAGCAAGGACUGUACCUGCAGAACAAGUCACGGCCAACUACGUGCCAGCAGCCGCGGUAAUACGUAGGGGGCAAGCGUUGUCCGGAAUUACUGGGCGUAAAGAGCGCGUAGGCGGUUUAUUAAGUCAGAUGUGAAAGUCUUAGGCUCAACCUGAGAAUUGCAUCUGAAACUGAUAGACUAGAGCCCAAUAGAGGAGAGUGGAAUUCCCGGUGUAGCGGUGAAAUGCGCAGAUAUCGGGAGGAAC